Molecule: unclassified non-coding RNA, 268 nt
Filed under: Hevea brasiliensis (rubber tree)
Lineage: Eukaryota; Viridiplantae; Streptophyta; Magnoliopsida; Malpighiales; Euphorbiaceae
Source: RNAcentral
AACAAAAUAAGCAAAGUUAGUAUAAAAUCAAAAGAAGAAUAAAUCAAAUACAAUAUUAUGUAUAUAAAAAUGGAAAUUAUAAUGUACGGGCUACCACUUUAUAUUCACUUCUAAAAUUAUCAAAAAUAUGAAAAUAAAUCAAUAAAAAAAAUGCAUGGGUUAAUGUACAAUGAGACAACAAUAAAUAAAUAAAUGAAAGGUGACAUUAUCAAGAAAUUGAUUGGGCCUAUAAAAUACUCAACUUAACUCAAUUAAGCCUUUAUUCCAA